RNAcentral lists this ribosomal RNA (874 nucleotides) under Niallia circulans. RNAcentral describes it as "bacterial SSU rRNA". It matches the Rfam family "Bacterial small subunit ribosomal RNA", at positions 61 to 918 of the family's 1533-position model. Lineage: Bacteria; Bacillati; Bacillota; Bacilli; Caryophanales; Bacillaceae. The record is from RNAcentral.
GUCGAGCGGACUUUAAAAGCUUGCUUUUAAAGUUAGCGGCGGACGGGUGAGUAACACGUGGGCAACCUGCCUGUAAGACUGGGAUAACUUCGGGAAACCGGAGCUAAUACCGGAUAAUCCUUUUCCUCUCAUGAGGAAAAGCUGAAAGACGGCAUCUCGCUGUCACUUACAGAUGGGCCCGCGGCGCAUUAGCUAGUUGGUGAGGUAACGGCUCACCAAGGCAACGAUGCGUAGCCAACCUGAGAGGGUGAUCGGCCACACUGGGACUGAAACACGGCCCAAACUCCUACGGGAGGCAGCAGUAGGGAAUCUUCCGCAAUGGACAAAAGUCUGACGGAGCAACGCCGCGUGAGUGAUGAAGGUUUUCGGAUCGUAAAGCUCUGUUGUUAGGGAAAAACAAGUACAAAAGUAACUGCUUGUACCUUGACGGUACCUAACCAGAAAGCCACGGCUAACUACGUGCCAGCAGCCGCGGUAAUACGUAGGUGGCAAGCGUUGUCCGGAAUUAUUGGGCGUAAAGCGCGCGCAGGCGGUCCUUUAAGUCUGAUGUGAAAGCCCACGGCUCAACCGUGGAGGGUCAUUGGAAACUGGGGGACUUGAGUGCARAARAGAARAGUGGAAUUCCACGUGUAGCGGUGAAAUGCGUAGAGAUGUGGAGGAACACCAGUGGCGAAGGCGACUCUUUGGUCUGUAACUGACGCUGAGGCGCGAAAGCGUGGGGAGCAAACAGGAUUAGAUACCCUGGUAGUCCACGCCGUAAACGAUGAGUGCUAAGUGUUAGAGGGUUUCCGCCCUUUAGUGCUGCAGCAAACGCAUUAAGCACUCCGCCUGGGGAGUACGGCCGCAAGGCUGAAACUCAAAGGAAUUGACGGGG